AUUCUGGCUCAGGAUGAACGCUAGCUACAGGCUUAACACAUGCAAGUCAGGGGCAGCAUGUUGGUUGCUUGCAACCAAUGAUGGCGACCGGCGCACGGGUGAGUAACGCGUAUCCAACCUUCCCCUUAGUAGAGGAUAGCCCGGCGAAAGUCGGAUUAAUACUCUAUGUUCUUCAAUGCGGACAUCUAAGUUGAAGCAAAGAUUUAUCGCUAAGGGAUGGGGAUGCGUCUGAUUAGGUUGCAGGCGGGGUAACGGCCCACCUGGCCUACGAUCAGUAGGGGUUCUGAGAGGAAGGUCCCCCACACUGGUACUGAGACACGGACCAGACUCCUACGGGAGGCAGCAGUGAGGAAUAUUGGUCAAUGGGCGCGAGCCUGAACCAGCCAAGUAGCGUGCAAGGACGACUGCCCUAUGGGUUGUAAACUGCUUUUAUCAGGGAAUAAAGUGAGGCACGCGUGCCUUUUUGUAUGUACCUGAUGAAUAAGGACCGGCUAAUUCCGUGCCAGCCGCAGC
Molecule: ribosomal RNA, 513 nt
Filed under: uncultured bacterium
Lineage: Bacteria
Description: bacterial SSU rRNA
Rfam family: Bacterial small subunit ribosomal RNA
Source: RNAcentral